GACGAACGCUGGCGGCGUGCCUAAUACAUGCAAGUAGAACGCUGAAGGAGGAGCUUGCUUCUCUGGAUGAGUUGCGAACGGGUGAGUAACGCGUAGGUAACCUGCCUGGUAGCGGGGGAUAACUAUUGGAAACGAUAGCUAAUACCGCAUAAUAGUAGAUGUUGCAUGACAUUUGCUUAAAAGGUGCAAUUGCAUCACUACCAGAUGGACCUGCGUUGUAUUAGCUAGUUGGUGAGGUAACGGCUCACCAAGGCAACGAUACAUAGCCGACCUGAGAGGGUGAUCGGCCACACUGGGACUGAGACACGGCCCAGACUCCUACGGGAGGCAGCAGUAGGGAAUCUUCGGCAAUGGACGGAAGUCUGACCGAGCAACGCCGCGGGAGUGAAGAAGGUUUUCGGAUCGUAAAGCUCUGUUGUAAGAGAAGAACGAGUGUGAGAGUGGAAAGUUCACACUGUGACGGUAGCUUACCAGAAAGGGACGGCUAACUACGUG
This 495-nucleotide ribosomal RNA is filed under the name uncultured bacterium. Its description in RNAcentral is "partial 16S ribosomal RNA". It matches the Rfam family "Bacterial small subunit ribosomal RNA", at positions 28 to 507 of the family's 1533-position model. The record is from RNAcentral.